RNAcentral lists this ribosomal RNA (491 nucleotides) under Clostridioides difficile. RNAcentral's name for it is "bacterial LSU rRNA". It matches the Rfam family "Bacterial large subunit ribosomal RNA", at positions 398 to 890 of the family's 2925-position model. Lineage: Bacteria; Bacillati; Bacillota; Clostridia; Peptostreptococcales; Peptostreptococcaceae. The record is from RNAcentral.
AGAUAUGAUCCAGAGUACCACGGGACACGUGAAACCCUGUGGGAAGCAGGAGGGACCACCCUCCAAGGCUAAAUACUACCUAGUGACCGAUAGCGUAUAGUACCGUGAGGGAAAGGUGAAAAGAACCCCGGGAGGGGAGUGAAAUAGAACCUGAAACCCUGCACUUACAAGCUGUGGAAGCACAUUUCUUGUGUGACCGCGUACUUUUUGUAGAACGGGCCAACGAGUUACGUUAAGUAGCAAGGUUAAGCACUUAAGGUGCGGAGCCGUAGCGAAAGCGAGUUUUAACUGAGCGUUCAGUUACUGGACGUAGACCCGAAACCGGGCGACCUACCCAUGAGCAGGAUGAAGCGAAAGUAAAAUUUCGUGGAGGUCCGAACCCACGAGCGUUGAAAAGCUCGGGGAUGACUUGUGGGUAGCGGUGAAAUUCCAAUCGAGCCCGGAGAUAGCUGGUUCUCCCCGAAAUAGCUUUAGGGCUAGCCUCAAGGUGA